CCUACGGGAGGCAGCAGUGAGGAAUAUUGGACAAUGGGCGCAAGCCUGAUCCAGCCAUGCCGCGUGCAGGAAGAAGCAUCUAUGGUGUGUAAACUGCUUUUGUACAGGAAGAAACACUCCCUCGUGAGGGAGCUUGACGGUACUGUAAGAAUAAGGACCGGCUAACUCCGUGCCAGCAGCCGCGGUAAUACGGAGGGUCCGAGCGUUAUCCGGAAUCAUUGGGUUUAAAGGGUCCGUAGGCGGUUUAAUAAGUCAGUGGUGAAAUCUGGUCGCUCAACGAUCAAACGGCCAUUGAUACUGUUAGACUUGAAUUAUAAGGAAGUAACUAGAAUAUGUAGUGUAGCGGUGAAAUGCUUAGAUAUUACAUGGAAUACCAAUUGCGAAGGCAGGUUACUACUUAUGGAUUGACGCUGAUGGACGAAAGCGUGGGGAGCGAACAGGAUUAGAUACCCUGGUAGUCCACGCCGUAAACGAUGGAUACUAGCUGUUCGGAGCAAUCUGAGUGGCUAAGCGAAAGUGAUAAGUAUCCCACCUGGGGAGUACGUUCGCAAGAAUGAAACUCAAAUGAAAUUGAGG
RNAcentral lists this ribosomal RNA (576 nucleotides) under uncultured bacterium. RNAcentral's name for it is "bacterial SSU rRNA". It matches the Rfam family "Bacterial small subunit ribosomal RNA", at positions 338 to 916 of the family's 1533-position model. The record is from RNAcentral.